This is a non-coding RNA of Dipodomys ordii (Ord's kangaroo rat), 65 nucleotides long. Lineage: Eukaryota; Metazoa; Chordata; Mammalia; Rodentia; Heteromyidae. The record is from Rfam.
GGUGGCUCAGUGGUAGAGCACUUGCCUUGCAUGCAUGAGGCCCUGGGUUUGAUUCCCCAGCACCA